RNAcentral lists this transfer-messenger RNA (415 nucleotides) under bacterium. It matches the Rfam family "transfer-messenger RNA". Rfam says of the family: Bacterial tmRNA, also known as 10Sa RNA or SsrA, is named for its dual tRNA and mRNA-like properties. Its role is to liberate the mRNA from a stalled ribosome. The record is from RNAcentral.
GGGCAUGUAUUAUAAUCGAAAUAAGUAAUGGAUUAUUUAGUUGCAAGACGGAGAAUGGUGGGAUUGGCUUCGUUAAAAAUUCCUACCUAAAUUAACUGCUAAAAACAAGUUAAAUAGUGUUAAGGCUAGUUACAAAGCUGGAUUGUCAAAGAUUCAGGCUAUACUAGCUUCGGCACAAUUCGCUACCGCUUAAGGUAGUGACACAUAUCAAGGAUUCUCAUUAAAUUGAAUAUGUGUUGUUAAUGAGAGAAAAAGCUUAUUAAUAAUUUUUAGCUUACAAUAAAGAUAAAUUAUAUAUUGUUAAUUCUAUUUGUUAUAUUUAGGAAUUAAACAGAAAAUAAAAUUUAACUAAUCUUGUAGUAACUAAUAGGCUAAUAUUUAUUGACCUGCGCUGAAAUUCGCAGCAUGUCCACCA